This 275-nucleotide ribosomal RNA is filed under the name uncultured bacterium. RNAcentral describes it as "partial 16S ribosomal RNA". It matches the Rfam family "Bacterial small subunit ribosomal RNA", at positions 338 to 610 of the family's 1533-position model. The record is from RNAcentral.
CCUACGGGUGGCUGCAGUAAGGAAUAUUGGUCAAUGGACGCAAGUCUGAACCAGCCAUGCCGCGUGGAGGAUGAAGGUCCUCUGGAUUGUAAACUUCUUUUAUCUGGGACGAAAAAAGGGAAUUCUUUCUCGUCUGACGGUACCAGAUGAAUAAGCACCGGCUAACUCCGUGCCAGCAGCCGCGGUAAUACGGAGGGUGCAAGCGUUAUCCGGAUUCACUGGGUUUAAAGGGUGCGUAGGCGGGUAUGUAAGUCCGUGGUGAAAUCUCCGAGCUU